UAGGGAAUCUUCGGCAAUGGGGGGAACCCUGACCGAGCAACGCCGCGUGAGUGAAGAAGGUUUUCGGAUCGUAAAGCUCUGUUGUUAGGGAAGAACGAGUGUGAGAAUGGAAAGUUCAUACUGUGACGGUACUUAACCAGAAAGGGACGGCUAACUACGUGCCAGCAGCCGCGGUAAUACGUAGGUCCCGAGCGUUGUCCGGAUUUAUUGGGCGUAAAGCGAGCGCAGGCGGUUAGAUAAGUCUGAAGUUAAAGGCAGUGGCUCAACCAUUGUAGGCUUUGGAAACUGUUUAACUUGAGUGCAGAAGGGGAGAGUGGAAUUCCAUGUGUAACGGUGAAAUGCGUAGAUAUAUGGAGGAACACCGGUGGCGAAAGCGGCUCUCUGGUCUGUAACUGACGCUGAGGCUCGAAAGCGUGGGGAGCGAACAGG
This 429-nucleotide ribosomal RNA is filed under the name Bacteroidota bacterium. RNAcentral describes it as "Bacteroidetes bacterium partial 16S ribosomal RNA". It matches the Rfam family "Bacterial small subunit ribosomal RNA", at positions 355 to 776 of the family's 1533-position model. The record is from RNAcentral. Lineage: Bacteria; Pseudomonadati; Bacteroidota.